CGCCGGCGGCUUCCGGGCCCAUCGGUGGCUUCCGGGCCCUGGGCAGCGGGCUUCGGUGCUGCCGGGCAGGGACGGGCUCGGCCCCGUGUCAGCGGGAAGGACCUGCCCCCCCCCCCCCCAACCUGCAGGCCUCGGCUUCUCGGUUCCAGGCCCUCAGUCGAGGGGCCUGGGCCUUUCUGCCGGGGACCCUGCAGCUCUUUGGUUGGGGAACCUCAGGAAUGGGGUCUCGGGCCCCUUGGCCGUGGGCUCCAGGACCCUCACAGAAGCACAGGGAGCUGAGAGAGAAAAGCAGGGCCGGAGGGCAGUUAAAGCGCUGAAAACAUUCCACUCAGGACCGUUGACAUAGGGCACAAGAGACCUCAGUCAUCCCCGAAUACCGUGUGGACUGAAAAAACAAUGCACCACCUAAAAGUUGAGAGUUACGUUUUAUUCGGUGGACAAGACUGAGGACUUAAGCCCGGGACACAGCAUCUCAGAUAACUCAGGGACUGUUCCGAAGAGGGAGAGGACGGAAAGCCAGCGUGCAGCUUUGAUAAACGUUUGCCCAAUUGGAUCGCAUUCAAGUUGCUUUCUUGUUUCUCUGUGGCCUCUGCCCACUGAAUCGGGGCCCCGGCUGCCUCAGGGGGGAAGCAGACACAGCGAAGAACAAAGAAAUCAAUUGACUUUCUGGAUGAAUUUUUAAAAACUCUCGGCAGAGAUGGACGUGUGUGCUCACCCUCUCAGCCUCGGGACUUGCUCCAGAGACUCAGGCCUCCCUUGGCCUUGGGACCCUCCUAUCCACCUGCCCUGUCCUGUCUCAGCCCAGCCCUGCCGCCCUCCGCUCUCAACGGCCCUUGGUCUCCUGAGUCUUCUGUUUUCCUCCAGAAUGGAGCCCUGGACUGCCUCGUGGUUUUGCUGUGUGACCGCGGCUCCCUCUUUGCUUGUCUGACUCUCACUGGGCUGCAAGCCAUGGGCAUCCAGGGCGCCCAGCCCCGUCUCCUGCUGAUGGACUCCCCCAGGGCAAGGAGUAGCUCCUGGCCUGCAGGCCUUUUGCAAGGGUGAGGGUCUCUGGCAGGAGCACAGCGGUGGCCAGCUUGUCAAGGAGAGUAAGCCCUGACCAGCACCUUCCAAGAGUUCCAAGACACGAGGCCCCUUCUGUCCACUGGUCACCAACUAGACUCCACGGACAGCGGCCUCCUUUGCACGUGAGCAAACUAAAGGCUCUGGGGGUCCUGAUCCCUGAUCCCCGUGCUUCCAACACACACUCUGACCCCUGUCCUGGGGCCCUGCCCUGCUCCCCGCAGCCUGGAGUGGAGGCUCGGAGUGGUCCGGCGCUCGCCCAAGGUCGUGCAGGGAGCAGGUGAGGCCAGGCCCCCACCCACGCGCAGUCUGCACCCCGUCCCACCUUCCCGGGUGGAGGACAGACGGCGGGCCCCUGCCCACGGGUCUCACUCAGGCUGACCCCGCAUGAGUUCCUUCUCCGAGACCCAGCCUUCUCCGUGCUGUUUGCCUAAAUUUAUUCAACUCAGUCUUCCCACAGGAGCCCCACGGCCACCGUCAACAUCUGUGGGGACACAGCCGAGGAAUGCCUAAUGAGGGCUCGGCGUGGCCCCGCCACGGAGCACAGGCUGGGACAGAUGGUCCAUCAUUACUCAUUUUUAUUAAUUACUAGCUCCGCAUGCCGCGACUGGCCAGCCAGCUCCAGGCUCCUCGGAGGUGCCACGGGCCCAGCUCUUCUGGAAGAAACGGCCCUUCAUUUAGAUCAGCGUGCCUCCCGGCCUCCUUUGAGCCACAGACAUUUCUGGCUCGCGCGGUCCCUGGGGUGCUGGGCCGGGCGUGGAGCAGCCACCUGCCUGAGGGGACUGGGAGAGGGGCCUGCACAGGACAGGAACAGGGGGCUCCUGGGGACCCUGGCCCGGGGCUCGGGCGGGCAACGAGGCUCCAGGACCCCCAGGAGCCAGCUCCGGGCUGCGGCUGCCUCCUGAGCCCUCUCCCUGCUGGCCUCUAGCCUGCGGGGCAUCACCUGCCUCAGAAGGAGCCUGUCUUCCAUCUCUGCCCUGCUGGCCUCGUGAGGGCCUUGGGGCCCGCAGACCCCUGGUGCCGGGGAAGGUUGUGCUCUGGGUGUUGGUCCGGUUGGAGCUCCACAGCCAUCUGCAGAUGCUCCAGACCCCAGCUUGAUCCCUCCCGGGGGCCUCUGGGGUCCCAUAGCCUUGGGUCCCAGCCCAGCAUUGCCUCUGACUUGCAGGGAUGCAGGGUAAAUCCCCCCAUCCCUGGACUUAGCCCCAACUGCAAGAUGGGGGCACGUCCUCCUUGAACGCUGAGUGGUGGGCGGCCCCAGAACCUGCGCUUCUACUGAUGCUGCAGAACUAGGACCAGUUCUGCUUUAGGCAAGUCCCUUGCCACCCGCAGCCUCCGCGAGGGGUGAUCGUGUCCUGCCGGACCCCCGACAAGAAGGGGGAGAAAGUGCAUGCGGGACAGUGACCCGCCAUGUCAGACAGUCCUGGGAGGGGUUCACUGAUGCUGGGGGAUGACUGGGGGCCCCAGGCUGCGUCGGGCGCCCUGGGAGCCCGCGUCUCCCUGCGGCCAGGACACCGACUUCCCUCCAGCUUCAGUGUGCGGCCUGUUAGCCCGGGAGAUAAUGGGACAUGAAGGACAAGAUCUCUAGUCAAUAUAAAGGCGCCGUGGAGGCUUUUUAUAUCUUGCUUCUGUCACACUGGGUAGGCGUUUUAUCUGCUGCCCACUUGACAGUACAUCGUACAGCUGGGUCCCUGCCCUGCUGGUGUCCAUCACAGCCUGUCCCGGGCUGCUGCCCAUUAGCCCGCGAAGCCCAGACUCCCGAGAGGUCAGCUCCAGGGGGCACUGGUGGCUGCACAGCCAGGAGAGCUGGGGACACCUUUGCAGAGAUGCAGGGGAGGCGAGGAGGUGUGGGUGGAGGUCACGUGGGAGGGGGCAGGCAGGGCUGGGCCGAGGACUGAGCUGAGGCCAGGAGCCCUCAGAGGUGGGCCCACCACAGGCUGCCCUGAGAUGGCCCGAGGAGCCACCCUGUCUGGGGCAGGACGGGGUGCUCAGCUCUUCUCAAGACAGAGCCAGGUGGGACAUGUAGGUGCAUAAACCAGCAGCUGCCAGGGCUGAGUAGUGAGCUCCCUGACAUUGGAGGAAAUCAAGCACAUCCUGAUGCCCCACUGGGCCAGGAGGCUUGAGUGGGAGAAGAAACGACAGUAAUUCAAGGGGCGGUGUGUAUUUUUCUCAAAAGUAAUUGAGCGGGGGGGCACGUUGUCCUGCAAGGAGGUGGUGGAGGGGCCACCUCCCACACUAGUUGGUGCUUUAAUGGAGGCCCAGGGGCUGGGCAGCCUGGAGGGAUCUGAGGCCUGCAGCUGUAGAUCCCAGGCUGCCCUGCAGAGCCGUCGACAUGGACCCAGGAAGGGGUGGAUCAGGGUGGCUGUGAGGAAGGCCACCCCCUGGACUCUCGUCCACAUGCCUCUGACCCACGAAUCAGGCCAGAGGGAGGGCGCUCGGCCAGGAAGGAUGGAGGCGCUGGCCUCAUUCCUGGAGGAAACUCAAUCAAUCGUUCCCUGCAGCAGGGCACCUCCUGGCCCAAAUCGCCUACUUUGCCUGGUUUUCCAUCCUGACGGGGGCUCAGGGUAAGUGGCCUGUCUUUGGGGGCAGAGGGCCCUCUGGGAAAGGAGAGCAGCUGACACUGAAGCAGGAGAUGGGACAGUCGGUUGGCAUGGAGACUGCCAGGGGGAGGGGCGGAGUUGGCCUCUGUUCCCUGGACCCACUUGCCUGUCCCUCCCCUGGGAUCCCCCCCCCCUCCAGCCAGGUCAGUUCAAGUCCUGUGAGGGGCACUGGGGCUCGGGGGCACUGGCACAAGCCCUUUCCUGCAAGGUGAUCCCCGACCAGGAACCACGACCCCAGCCCAGGUGAUGGGCGUGCACGGGCACCUGAACCGGCCCAGGACACCCAAGCUGGGCCUGAAGGGCAGAGGCCUGGGGCAGGCUGACCAGCGUGCUGGACAGCAUGCCACGCAGGGGCACAGGUGUAAGCACAGGCCUGGAGGUGAGGAGGCCACACCCUCAGAAGGGGACGAGCGCGCGCUAGGAUGGUGCCCACUGAACCCAGACCCGCCCUCCUGCCCCCGGGCUCCUGCGCCCCGGGGCUGGGCUGCAGCGGGUCUCCCAGGGAGAAGGGUGGGCAUUGGGGCCCCCACCGAGCAGGGCAGCAGGGCUACACGCUGACGGCCCACCUGUGAGGAACGGCACGCCUGUGGCUCGGUCCCGAAGCACCUACUGGGUCCACAUGUGUUCAAGGCCACGUCCACUUGGGGCCUCCGACGGCACCUCCAUCUUGGAGUCCCUGGAGGGACCUGGCGGCCCCCCUGGGGAGCCGUGGUCCCCGGCCUCUCACGCUGUAGGAGAGCAGCUCCAGCCCUCAAAGCACGAGGGGGUGCAAGCCCCUUUGGGACAGCUUUCCUAGCCCCACCUCUGCAGCCCCGGGAAAGGCGGCCCGUUAGUUCCCAGAACUUGGAGAUGCAAUGGACCCGACUCAGCCCAUCGUGUGGUUUAUCCCAGACGCGCGAUGCCAACAAAGACGUGCGUUUCUGCAGCCUCUGGCUUCCAAGGAGGCGACAUGGCCCCCAUUUCCUCUGGUCGGUGUGCAGCUGGCCCCAAGGAGCAGGUGGGGACACAGGUGCGAACAGAGGUCACGCAGGUGAGCAGGAGAGAGGCCAGAGCUGAGGCCACGGGGGAGCAGCGUGGCGUCUGAAGGCUGGGCAGAUGUCUCUGCCUCCCUCAGACCGAGACGCCACGGGGGUGGCGCUGUGAGGCCUCCAGGCGCCCAGCCCCACGAUGGGGAAGAGCGGCCGUGAUGUGCGAACGACUCAGCGCCGCUCAGCGAAACGGCAGCCAACGGACACACACCUUUGGACAGGGUGGAAGGAGCCAGACCCAGGGAGGGCAUAUACUCUAUGACCCCAAGUUUAUGAAAUUCCGGAAGAGAAUUACAUGUGAAAGCCAAUGAAAGAGGCCAGGUGCUGUAGCCAAGCGGCUGGACCGUGGUAGCUGUUCACUGACCGUGUGUGUGAGACCUUGGACUAGUUUCUUGGACUCCUGGUGCCUCAGUGCCGCCAUGGCAUGAAAGAAUUAACGAACAUCAAGUACUUACACGCAGGGGCCAAGACGAUUCAAUGGAGAAGGAACAGUCUUUUCAACAAAUGGUGCUGGGACCAACAACACGGGUAAAGAAUGAAACUGGACCCCCUUUUCACAGCAUCUGAAAAAUAACUUAAUGGAUCAAAGACCUAAAUAUAAGGGCUGAAACUAUAAGACUCUUAGAAGAAAACAUAGGAGUAAAUCUUCACCUUAGGCAGGGGCUUCUUAGGUACGACAUCAAAAGCACAAGCAACGAAAAGAAAAAAAAAAAUUGGACCUCAUCAAAAUUAAAAACUUUUGUGCUGCAAACA
Molecule: non-coding RNA, 5437 nt
Organism: Delphinapterus leucas (beluga whale)
Lineage: Eukaryota; Metazoa; Chordata; Mammalia; Artiodactyla; Monodontidae
Source: RefSeq, a predicted model, not a curated record